UGAAUCAGUGUGUGUGUUAGUGGAAGCGUCUGGAAAGGCGUGCGAUACAGGGUGACAGCCCCGUACACAAAAAUGCACAUAUUGUGAGCUUGAUGAGUAGGGCGGGACACGUGGUAUCCUGUCUGAAUAUGGGGGGACCAUCCUCCAAGGCUAAAUACUCCUGACUGACCGAUAGUGAACCAGUACCGUGAGGGAAAGGCGAAAAGAACCCCGGCGAGGGGAGUGAAAAAGAACCUGAAACCGUGUACGUACAAGCAGUGGGAGCACGCUUAGGCGUGUGACUGCGUACCUUUUGUAUAAUGGGUCAGCGACUUAUAUUCUGUAGCAAGGUUAACCGAAUAGGGGAGCCGAAGGGAAACCGAGUCUUAACUGGGCGUUAAGUUGCAGGGUAUAGACCCGAAACCCGGUGAUCUAGCCAUGGGCAGGUUGAAGGUUGGGUAACACUAACUGGAGGACCGAACCGACUAAUGUUGAAAAAUUAGCGGAUGACUUGUGGCUGGGGGUGAAAGGCCAAUCAAACCGGGAGAUAGCUGGUUCUCCCCGAAAGCUAUUUAGGUAGCGCCUCGUGAAUUCAUCUCCGGGGGUAGAGCACUGUUUCGGCAAGGGGGUCAUCCCGACUUACCAACCCGAUGCAAACUGCGAAUACCGGAGAAUGUUAUCACGGGAGACACACGGCGGGUGCUAACGUCCGUCGUGAAGAGGGAAACAACCCAGACCGCCAGCUAAGGUCCCAAAGUCAUGGUUAAGUGGGAAACGAUGUGGGAAGGCCCAGACAGCCAGGAUGUUGGCUUAGAAGCAGCCAUCAUUUAAAGAAAGCGUAAUAGCUCACUGGUCGAGUCGGCCUGCGCGGAAGAUGUAACGGGGCUAAACCAU
Molecule: ribosomal RNA, 873 nt
Filed under: Shigella sonnei
Lineage: Bacteria; Pseudomonadati; Pseudomonadota; Gammaproteobacteria; Enterobacterales; Enterobacteriaceae
Description: partial 23S ribosomal RNA
Rfam family: Bacterial large subunit ribosomal RNA
Source: RNAcentral